This 496-nucleotide ribosomal RNA is filed under the name uncultured bacterium. RNAcentral describes it as "partial 16S ribosomal RNA". It matches the Rfam family "Bacterial small subunit ribosomal RNA", at positions 28 to 506 of the family's 1533-position model. The record is from RNAcentral.
GAUGAACGCUGGCGGCGUGCCUAAUACAUGCAAGUCGAGCGAACAGACGAGGAGCUUGCUCCUCUGACGUUAGCGGCGGACGGGUGAGUAACACGUGGAUAACCUACCUAUAAGACUGGGAUAACUUCGGGAAACCGGAGCUAAUACCGGAUAAUAUAUUGAACCGCAUGGUUCAAUAGUGAAAGACGGUUUUGCUGUCACUUAUAGAUGGAUCCGCGCCGCAUUAGCUAGUUGGUAAGGUAACGGCUUACCAAGGCAACGAUGCGUAGCCGACCUGAGAGGGUGAUCGGCCACACUGGAACUGAGACACGGUCCAGACUCCUACGGGAGGCAGCAGUAGGGAAUCUUCCGCAAUGGGCGAAAGCCUGACGGAGCAACGCCGCGUGAGUGAUGAAGGUCUUCGGAUCGUAAAACUCUGUUAUUAGGGAAGAACAAAUGUGUAAGUAACUAUGCACGUCUUGACGGUACCUAAUCAGGAAGCCACGGCUAACUACGU